Molecule: long non-coding RNA, 389 nt
Organism: Neltuma alba
Lineage: Eukaryota; Viridiplantae; Streptophyta; Magnoliopsida; Fabales; Fabaceae
Exons: 3
Source: RefSeq, a predicted model, not a curated record
UUCGACCCCUUUAUCCUUUGCCGCAUGGGUUUGUUCUCGGUAUCUAUUCAUCAAUCUCUGGCUCUUCCUUGAGAAGCCACCGCGGGUGGAGCUGAAUAUGGCGGUGCCAUGGAGCAUGAGUCUCUGGAUGGCGAAGAUGGUGUGGAUUGCUUUGAGUGGGUGGGUAUCUUCGUGCUUGACUGUUGCUGACGAGGUUGCUAGUUCUCUUCGAUCCGGUGAUCUUGGCCCCUUCAAUGUUGGAUGAUUCAAAAACCUAAUUCACCUUUGCUUCGGCCCUGUGAAAGAUUGGAAGAAGGUGAUGUGAUUACAGAAUAGUUGAGCGGUGAUUUAUUCUUUGGAUUGUACGGGGAGAAGAGGAUAAGAUUCAUGUUCAAGAAUGUUUGCCUCUC